Molecule: unclassified non-coding RNA, 657 nt
Filed under: Hevea brasiliensis (rubber tree)
Lineage: Eukaryota; Viridiplantae; Streptophyta; Magnoliopsida; Malpighiales; Euphorbiaceae
Source: RNAcentral
GAAUCAUCCAAUUCCGUUCUCUUCGCUAAUUUAUUUUUCAAAAUUCUUCAACAACAAUGCCGAGCCGAUACCCCGGAGCCCUAGCUCAAGAUUGGGAGCCAGUGGUUCUCCACAAGGCGAAGCCAAAGGCUCAGACCCUUCGCGAUCCGAAGGCAGUGAACCAAGCGAUCCGGUCCGGCGCAGCGGUGCAGACAGUGAAGAAAUUCGACGCCGGUUCGAACAAGAAAGCCGCAGCGGCGCCAGUGAACGCGAGGAAGCUGGACGAAGGGACUGAACCGGCGGCGCUGGACCGCGUGGCGGCGGAGGUGAGACUGACGAUUCAGAAGGCUCGAGUGGAGAAGAAGAUGAGCCAAGCGGAAUUGGCGAAACAGAUAAACGAGCGGACUCAGGUUGUGCAAGAAUACGAAAAUGGGAAGGCGGUGCCGAAUCAGGCGGUUUUGUCGAAGAUGGAGAAGGUUUUGGGCGUGAAGCUUCGAGGCAGAUCGGGGAAGUGAGAUUCGAAUUCAAAACCGUUUUCCGACCUCGCGUUUUGAUGUAAUUAGUGUUUGGAAAUGAGGACUGUUGAUUUGUAAAAGGUGUAAGGUAUCUUCGUGGUUUAAGAAAUGAGAUUUGACUUCGAAACCGCUGUCUGAACUAGCGUUUUGAUGUAAUUUGAUU